GGGGAUGUAGCUCAGUGGUAGAGCGCUUGCUUUGCAUGUAAGAGGCCCUGCGUUCAAACCCCAGCAUCUCCA
RNAcentral lists this transfer RNA (72 nucleotides) under Eumeta japonica. It matches the Rfam family "tRNA". From Rfam's summary of the family: Transfer RNA (tRNA) molecules are approximately 80 nucleotides in length. Their secondary structure includes four short double-helical elements and three loops (D, anti-codon, and T loops). The record is from Rfam by way of RNAcentral. Lineage: Eukaryota; Metazoa; Arthropoda; Insecta; Lepidoptera; Psychidae.